This 410-nucleotide ribosomal RNA is filed under the name uncultured microorganism. Its description in RNAcentral is "bacterial SSU rRNA". It matches the Rfam family "Bacterial small subunit ribosomal RNA", at positions 509 to 917 of the family's 1533-position model. The record is from RNAcentral.
CAGCCGCCGCGGUAAUACGUAGGGGGCGAGCGUUGUCCGGAAUUAUUGGGCGUAAAGCGCGCGCAGGCGGUCCCUUAAGUCUGAUGUGAAAGCCCACGGCUCAACCGUGGAGGGUCAUUGGAAACUGGGAGACUUGAGUGCAGAAGAGGAGAGCGGAAUUCCACGUGUAGCGGUGAAAUGCGUAGAGAUGUGGAGGAACACCAGUGGCGAAGGCGGCUCUCUGGUCUGUAACUGACGCUGAGGCGCGAAAGCGUGGGGAGCAAACAGGAUUAGAUACCCUGGUAGUCCACGCCGUAAACGAUGAGUGCUAAGUGUUAGAGGGGUUAAACCCUUUAGUGCUGUAGCUAACGCGUUAAGCACUCCGCCUGGGGAGUACGGCCGCAAGGCUGAAACUUAAAGGAAUUGGCGGG